Molecule: ribosomal RNA, 508 nt
Filed under: uncultured Sclerocystis
Lineage: Eukaryota; Fungi; Glomeromycota; Glomeromycetes; Glomerales; Glomeraceae
Description: SSU rRNA
Rfam family: Eukaryotic small subunit ribosomal RNA
Source: RNAcentral
AGCAGCCGCGGUAAUUCCAGCUCCAAUAGCGUAUAUUAAAGUUGUUGCAGUUAAAAAGCUCGUAGUUGACUUUCGGGGUCAGCAGGUUGGUCGUGCCUAUGGUAUGUACUGGCCUUGCUGAUUCCUCCCUCUUGAUGAGCCGUAAUGUCAUUAAUUUGGUGUUGCAGGGAAUCAGGACUGUUACUUUGAAAAAAUUAGAGUGUUUAAAGCAGGCAAGCGCUUGAAUACAUUAGCAUGGAAUAAUGAAAUAGGACGUUUGAUCCUAUUUUGUUGGUUUCUAGGAUUGACGUAAUGAUUAAUAGGGAUAGUUGGGGGCAUUAGUAUUCAAUUGUCAGAGGUGAAAUUCUUGGAUUUAUUGAAGACUAACUACUGCGAAAGCAUUUGCCAAGGAUGUUUUCAUUAAUCAAGAACGAAAGUUAGGGGAUCGAAGACGAUCAGAUACCGUCGUAGUCUUAACCAUAAACUAUGCCGACUAGGGAUCGGAUGAUGUUAAUUUUUUAAUGACUCA